Callorhinus ursinus (northern fur seal) is the source of this 474-nucleotide long non-coding RNA. RefSeq lists it as uncharacterized. The record is from RefSeq and is a predicted model, not a curated record. NCBI's taxonomy places the organism in Eukaryota, Metazoa, Chordata, Mammalia, Carnivora, Otariidae.
GUGAUUUAUAAGCACAUAAAUAAUUGGCUGUUCAUUAACAGGUGGGUCUCCUAAACUCAGCUGCUUUUGGCAAUUAUCUACAGUAUUCCAGAGUUGUGCUUCUGUCCACCUCAGCUGCUUGCCUGUUUGGCUCAGAGAGUAUCAACUUUGAAAACAAGGCAAAGAGAAAACAAUCCAUCAGCAGGACUAUCUCAGGAGCCGAGAACAAGGCACAGUCGGCCAGUGCUGCUUGAGGAAUGGCAUAAAGAACGAUGCAGGAAGGAAACAUUUAAUCCAUCUACUUUGAUCCAAAAAACUGUCUUGAUGACAUUUGGAAGGAUUUAAUGACAUUUUCCUUGGUUCCAGCUCUACUAUUCAGCCGUACCUCAUUGUAUAUGAUUAAGCUGUAACUCUGCAGUCAGUUAUAGGACCCAAUGCCUCAAGUUCAUAAUUAAGAUGCAAAAACAAAAAAUGAAACAAACAAAAACUCCAACA